This 583-nucleotide unclassified non-coding RNA is filed under the name uncultured bacterium. RNAcentral describes it as "partial contains 16S ribosomal RNA, 16S-23S ribosomal RNA intergenic spacer, and 23S ribosomal RNA". The stretch from base 453 to 583 matches the Rfam family "Bacterial large subunit ribosomal RNA", at positions 1 to 131 of the family's 2925-position model. The record is from RNAcentral.
UGCGGCUGGAUCCCCUCCUUUCUAAGGAUAUAUUCGGAACAUCUUCUUCGAAGAUGAAAAGGAAUAACGUGACAUAUUGUAUUCAGUUUUGAAUGUUUAUUAACAUUCAUUUUUAUAAUGGGCCUAUAGCUCAGCUGGUUAGAGCGCACGCCUGAUAAGCGUGAGGUCGGUGGUUCGAGUCCACUUAGGCCCACCAUUUAAGUUAAUAUUCUUUUUGGGGGCUUAGCUCAGCUGGGAGAGCGCCUGCUUUGCACGCAGGAGGUCAGCGGUUCGAUCCCGCUAGUCUCCACCAUGAUAUAUUGUACAUUGAAAACUAGAUAAGUAAGUAAAUAGAUUUUACCAAGCAAAACCGAGUGAAUAGAGUUUUAAAUAAGCUUGAAUUCAUAAAAAUAAUCGCUAGUGUUCGAAAGAACACUCACAAGAUUAAUAACGCGUUUCCUGGUGGAAAUAUAGAUUAAGUUAUUAAGGGCGCACGGUGGAUGCCUUGGCACUAGAAGCCGAAGAAGGACGUUACUAACGACGAUAUGCUUUGGGUAGCUGUAAGUAAGCGUUGAUCCAGAGAUUUCCGAAUGGGGAAACCCGG